RNAcentral lists this ribosomal RNA (578 nucleotides) under uncultured bacterium. RNAcentral's name for it is "bacterial SSU rRNA". It matches the Rfam family "Bacterial small subunit ribosomal RNA", at positions 338 to 916 of the family's 1533-position model. The record is from RNAcentral.
CCUACGGGAGGCAGCAGUAGGGAAUAUUGGACAAUGGACGCAAGUCUGAUCCAGCCAUGCCGCGUGCAGGAUGACAGCCCUCUGGGUUGUAAACUGCUUUUAUAUGAGAAGAAACCCUCAGAUGCGUUUGAGGCUGACGGUAUCGUAUGAAUAAGGAUCGGCUAACUUCGUGCCAGCAGCCGCGGUAAGACGAAGGAUCCAAGCGUUGUCCGGAUUUACUGGGUUUAAAGGAUGCGUAGGCGGACACUUAAGCCAGUGGUGAAAUCCCAUAGCUCAACUAUGGAACUGCCAUUGGAACUGUGUGUCUUGAAUUCGGUUGAGGUAGAUGGAAUAUAACAUGUAGCGGUGAAAUGCUUAGAUAUGUUAUAGAACACCGAUUGCGAAGGCAGUCUACUAAGCCGACAUUGACGCUGAGGCAUGAAAGCGUGGGGAGCGAACAGGAUUAGAUACCCUGGUAGUCCACGCCCUAAACGUUGAUUACUCGCUGUUAGCGAUACACUGUUAGCGGCUAAGCGAAAGCGUUAAGUAAUCCACCUGGGAAGUACGACCGCAAGGUUGAAACUCAAAUGAAUUGACGG